GGAGGCCCAGGGAAAAUACGCAGUCAGAGAGUGUCUGAGCUGGAUGAGGUCACAGAAGCUGCCUUGAACAAGUCUCUCAUUUUUCUCCCGAGGACACUGGGCUGCCUGAGCUGGGAGGUCUGUGUUGCCCAUCAGAGGGUAGGAUUUGGGGAUUCUCUGACAACUGUUCAUGAAAUGGGGCAUGCUGACUUACCCCAAAUCUGGUUAUGGUCACGAUUUGCGGGGAACGGCCACCAGCUAAUAGGAAACAGAUCUUUCCGAGGCGCACUGGGCUUCUGGGCGGCUUCCCAGCCUCCUUGGCAGUGGACUCCUCUUCCGAGCCUACAGGAACCCGGAAAAUGUGGACGCUCUGGCUAUCUGAUGUAAGAGUUGGACAGGAGGCAUGGCAUCUGUCUACAUACUGGAGUUCAGGAAGUCGCAUUGACCGGAAGGUCUGAUCUGGCCUCCAGCAGCCGCGCAGGCUCAGACCUCCUGGGAUGUUCUCAUUGUUCGGUUUCAGGACUUUUUGUUCAGUCGUAUGUGGACACCUGGAGCACUUUUUUUUUUUUUUGCUCUAAUAAUUAUUACUAGGUUUUAUGGAACACCCUUGGUUAAUAUCUCAAAGGAUUAUUAAAAGGAUUACAUGAAAUAAUCCACCUAAAGCAUGGAGCCAGUGCCUGGGCCAGUGGAUGCUUCACCUACGGCAGCUGCUAUAGUGACUUCCCCACAGUGCUGAACGUUUGCACCUGCUAAUGCGGGGAUCGAUCCCCAGCUCUGGCUGGCAGGGCCACUCAAGAACUCGGCCAUCCUGGUUUCCCAGGCCACAGAUCAUCUCCCCAUCUAAGGUCAUUCUCCCACAGUCCUCUUCUGUUGGGAGCUGGGUGACAAAGCCUUCUCCCUUGCCCUUCAUCCUCUCCAUUGCUGUAGGGAUCAGAAAAGAUGCAAAGCUGUCAGUGGAGGCAAUCUCCUGCCUUCACAUAGGCACAGGGCCCUUCUCAUCCCCAUGAAACAGCUCAGGCCAUGGGGCCUGUCACUUUCCUGCUUGUCCUCAGAUCCAUCCCUCACCCUUCCCUGCUGUGCUGUGUUGCUGGGCCCAGACCUCUGUGGACUGCAUUUCCCAGGCUCCCCUGCACCCUGGCUUUCUGGUAAGUUCGGUCAACUGGAGGCACUGGCAGGAGACUGAGCUUGGUAGGAAGAGAGAAGGGGAUAAUUCUCUAGCCCUUUCUGCUUCAGGUGAUGCCUCCAGCAAUGGCCAAGUCUCCUCUAGGAACUUCAGUUCCUGAUAACACCCUCUCUUCCUUUGUCCCUCCAGCCCUGGGACAGUAGCAGUUUCUUGCAGUUUCUGCUUUCUGGGUUGCUGUACCCUCCCCUGUCUAGGUUUUCAACAUUUCCAUCACCUUUGCAACUACAGGUGACCCUUGAACAACGUGGGUUUGUACUGCACAGGCUCACUUUUAUAUGGAUUUUUUUCAAUAAACCUUUUUUUUGAGAUUUGUGACAAUUUGAAAAAGCGUUGAAGCAUGGUCUAGAAAUAUCAAGAAAAUCCAGAAAAACGUUAGGUGUGUCAUGAAUACAUAAAAUAUAUGCAGAUAAGAGUCUAUUUUAUCAUUUACUACCACAAAAUAUACACAAGUAUAUUCUAAAAAGUUAAAGUUAAUCAAAACUUUAACAUACGAACACAGACUGCACAUGGUGCCUUUCAGUCAAGAGAAAUGGAAAUGAAUGGAAGGAUACAGUAUUAAAUAACUACGGCACUACUGCGAUAGGUUCAUAGCUGCCUCUUGUUGCUAUUGUGGCAAGCUCCGGCUGCAGACAUCCACUUAAACACCAUAUGAUGCUGAUCAUCACAUCAGCAGACGAAUAGAGCAGUUCGUCUCUAUUGAUAAACUACAUAUUGCAGUGAAAAGUUAUCUCUCCUGGUUCUUGUGUAUUUUUCUUUGUGUUCAAUGCAAUACCAUAAACCCUGAGUAGCAUCAUGGGCCCAUAUGAAGUGCCACUAGUGAUGCUGGAGGUUCUCUCUCUUUCAUGACAUUACAAGAAAGUUGAAUUGCUGGAUGUUGACCGUAGAUUGGGGUCUGCAGCUGAGGUUGUCUGCUAUUUCAAAGACAAAUGAACCAGCGUAAGAACCAUUGCAAAAAACAGAAGGAAAUUUGUGAAGCCUUGCUGCCGGCAGGCACGGAAACUUUGCACUUUUUUGCAAAAUUGCUUUCAUAUUGGAAAUGCAGCUUUUAUGUGGGUGCAGGAUUGCUAUAAGAAAGCCAUACCUGUAGACUUUAAUAGGAUUCACAAAAAAGCGAAGUCAUUUUAGGACAACUUAAAGCAAAAGGCUGUCGGAGGAUCUAAAGCUGGGGCAUUUAAUGAUAGCAAAGGAUGGUUUGAUAAUUUUGGAAAGAGGUUUAGCUUAAAACAAUGUCAAGAUAACAGGAGAAGCAGCUCCCGUGGAUCAAGAGGCAGCAGAUGAGUUCCCAAAUGCCAUUAAGAAAUGAUCAUGAAAAUCACUGAGGAGAAAGGAUGUCUACCUGAACAGUUUUUUAAAUGCAGAUGAAGGUACCGUAUUCUGGAAAAAACGGGCAAAGAACAUCUAUUAGUAAGGAAGAGAAGUGAGCCCUGGGAUUUCAGGCAGGAAGGGAUGGGCUAACUCUACUACUUUGUGCAAAUGCAGUCAGGUUUAUGAUUAGGACUGCCCUUAUGUAUUAAGCUGCUGAACUCCGGUCCUUGAAGAGAAAGGGUAAACAGCAGUUGCCCGUCUUUUGGUUGCACAAGAAGGGCUGUAUAAGGAGAACUCUUUUUCUGUGUUGUUUCCUUCAAUGCUUUGUUCCUGAAGUCAGUAAGUACCUUGUGAAGUAGGGACUGCCUUUUAAAGUUCUCUUGACCGUGGACAAUGCCCCUCGCCACCCAGGACCCCAUGAGUUCCACACUGAAGGUGUCAAAGUGGUCUCUUUUCCCUAAAUAUAAUGUCUUCAAUUCAGCCUCUAGAUCAGAGUCAUCAGGACCUUUAAGGUUCAAUAUACACAGUAUUCUACGGAAGGGAUUGUCAGUGCCGUGAGACAGAACCCCAGCAGAGAAAAUAUAAUGAAAGUCUGGUAGAAUUACACCACUGAAGAUGCCGUUGUCAUUUUAGAAAAAGCUGUGAAAACCAUCAAGCCCCUAUCAUUAAAUUCCUGCUGGAGAAAACCGUGUCUAGAUGUGCACGACUUUGCAGGAUUUAUGAAUCAAGAAAAGAGAUUGUGACUAUGAUAAAAAGGUGGGGGUGUGAAGGGUUUCAAGAGACGGAUUUUGGAGCAAUUCAAGAGCUAACAGACAUCACAUGAGUGAAAUUAACAGAAGACAACUUGAUGGAGAUAAAUGCUUCUGAAUCAGAGGCAGACAAUGAGAAAGAAGACAUGGUAGUGGAGCAUCAGAACUUAUUAACAUUAGUGUCACCGAAGUUGGUAUACAAGCCCCCACUGCUAAAUUUAACUAGCUUAGGAAAAAAAAGAAGAAAACAUAGAAGACACAGUGUGAGAAAACAAAUGGACAUUAGGCAAUCUGGCAGAGGGUUCCAAUGAGUUAAGACUGUUGACUGGGCACAGGGACUCAUGCCUGUAAUCCCGGCGCUUCGGGAGGCUGAGGCAGGUGGAUUACCUGAGGUUAGGAGUUCGAAACCAGCCUGAUCAAUAUGGUGAAACCCCAUCUCUGCUAAUAAUACAAAAAUUAGCUGGGCGUGGUGACGUGUGCCAGUAGUCUACUUGGGAGACUGAGGCAGGAGAAUUCCUUGAACCUGGGAGGUGGAGGUUGCAGUGAGCUGAGAUCGAAUCACUUCGUGCUAGCCUGGGCGACAGAGCAGGACUCCAUCUCAAAAGCACAAAAGACUGUUUCUGACACGCACCCUUCUAUGGUUUGGGCACUGAAACUAAAGCCAGUGGCGGAAGAAGGAUUGAUACUGUACGGAAACGUUUUCAGAGAAAUGAGAAAGGAAAAGAGUCAGAUAGAAAUGAUGAUGUAUUUCCAUAAAAUCACACCAAGUGUGCCUGCCUCUCCCACCAGCCCCUCCCGCUUCUCCUCCUCUUCUGCCUCUGCCACCCAGAGACAGCUGGACCAACCCUCCCCUUCCUCUUCCUCCUCAGCCCACUCAGCAUGGAGACAACCAGGAUGAAGACCUUUAGGAUGAUCCACUCCCACUUACGGAGUAAUAAAUUUAUUUUCUCCUUCAUAUGAUUUUCUUAGUAACAUUUUUUUUCUAGCUCACUAUAUUGUAAGAAUACAGUAUUAAUAUUUACAAUGUACAAAAUACGCAUUAAUCACCUGUUUACGUUAUCAGCAAGGCUUCCAGUCAACAGUAGGCUAUUGGUAAACUUCCUGGGGAGUCAAAAGUUAUAUGUGGAUUUUCAACUGUGCCAGGAGUUGAUGUCCCUAACCUCCUCAUUGUUCAA
This is a non-coding RNA of Callithrix jacchus (white-tufted-ear marmoset), 4391 nucleotides long. The record is from RefSeq and is a predicted model, not a curated record. Lineage: Eukaryota; Metazoa; Chordata; Mammalia; Primates; Cebidae.